UCAUGCCAAGACGGGUAAUCUCUUUCCUUAAUUAUUUUUCGAGCACAGUAGGGACAAUGUGUCAAAUAAAGUGUAGGGGUAACAUAGAAUUUUCAAAUUUUUAUUUAAUAUUUUCAGUAUUUUUAAAUGUUUGCUUAUUAUUUUUUCGUUAAAUUUUUUUAUUGUGUGUUUUGUUUGUGCUCGAACUUGUAGAAAUACAAGUGAUUGGUUAGGAGCAUGUAA
Molecule: long non-coding RNA, 222 nt
Filed under: Gossypium barbadense (sea-island cotton)
Lineage: Eukaryota; Viridiplantae; Streptophyta; Magnoliopsida; Malvales; Malvaceae
Description: long non-coding RNA (GBAR_LNC014791)
Source: RNAcentral